RNAcentral lists this long non-coding RNA (1244 nucleotides) under Amphibalanus amphitrite. RNAcentral's name for it is "uncharacterized LOC122369036". The record is from RNAcentral. Lineage: Eukaryota; Metazoa; Arthropoda; Thecostraca; Balanomorpha; Balanidae.
AGUUGAUGUUUGUGAUACCAGCUACGGCUGAUAUUGGACAGUCAAUGUUGUGAUUGUGUCGUAUGAUUGUGUCGCCUGAGCCCGCCCCUGCGCGGGCGACCCGCCGGCGGAGCUCGGCCCACCGGACGGGGCCUGGGGCCGCCUCUGCACCGCCCGGGGCGGUGACCGGCCGACCGGCUGGCGGGGCUGCGGCGUCUGGGCGGGCCAGUUGGCGUUGAGACUCUGAGUGGUGUCCGUGUCCACUAAAGCCUUAAUUCGGGCGGAACCGACACAUGGCGCGGUCGGUAUUAGCUCGAACCCGCCCAUAGUGAGUACAAAGUGCGAUUAACGAAAGUGAAAGGAAGCAGGAAUGCGUAGCCGUGGCGGCCGCGCCGCAACCACGACCGCGUUCGAGUCUCUUCAGAGAGGCGCGCCCGCAGCGACGCCAGCUGUAUCGCUAGUUGGUCGAGUCGCAGCUGUGACAUCAGGACGUAGUCGUCCCAUCUCUCCUUCCAGAGGUAGAAGGCGUCACUGCGGUCGGUGGAGAUGUCCAGUCGGUCAGGCCGGAUCGGCUGCAGGCUCGUCAUACCACAGCGAUUACGAAGGACUGUUCUAGAAGCCCUCCAUGCCAGCCACCUGGGGAAGGAGAAAACGAAGGCCCGCGCAAGACAGAUCGUCUACUGGCCCGGGAUCUACCGGGAUGUGGAAAAUGUCACCCGCUGCUGUACCAGCUGCCAGAGAGAUCUACCCGCUCAGCAGCAAGAGACCAUGAUGAGGAGACCGCCAGCGGAAAGGCCGUUCGAACUACACAUCGACUUUGCCGAUCACGCCGGCAGGAAGUACCUCGUGGCAGUGGACAGGUACUCCGGGUGGCUGUUUGUCGCCGACCUCGGUGUAAGCGCCCCCGCUUACACCGGUCCGAAGGACGAUAGCAGGUGUCAUGACGAGCGCACUCGCUACGCGACUUAGCGUAAAUGGACGGCACGGGAAAAGGGCUUUCGGCGGUACCCGGCUUUUUGAUGUCGUGUUCAGAGCCGUGCGGCGGAACGGGCUUACCCAGGACACCAACAACGGCCAGCUGGAGGUGGCGCCACGAAAGUGGUUUACGGGUGCCAGGAACCGCGACGGAGGCCGCCAGGAGAGGACACCAGCUGGAGUUUAAGCGGAGGAGCAGAUGAGAGAAGAAGUCUAGAGAUGAACAGAAGAGAGGAGAGAGUUUAAACAGCAUUUUUGUGUUUAUCGAUAAUAUAAAUAUUGAUCACUGA